RNAcentral lists this ribosomal RNA (380 nucleotides) under uncultured eukaryote. RNAcentral's name for it is "partial 18S ribosomal RNA". It matches the Rfam family "Eukaryotic small subunit ribosomal RNA", at positions 592 to 976 of the family's 1831-position model. The record is from RNAcentral.
CAAUAGCGUAUAUUAAAGCUGUUGCGGUUAAAAAGCUCGUAGUUGGAUUUCUGUCAAGUACAACUGGUCCGCCCUCCGGGUGAGCACAUAGUUUGGUCUUGGCAUCUUGCUGGAAAUUGUUGCUGCACUUGGCUGUGUGGCGCAGUGUCCAGCACUUUCACUUUGAGGAAAUUGGAGUGUUUCAAGCAGGCAAUGCCUUUGAACACAGUAGCAUGGAAUAAUUAGAUUGGGCUUUGGCUCCAAUUUGUCGGUUUCUGGAGCUGAGGUGAGAAUUAAUGGGGAUUGUUGGGGGCAUCCGAAUUUAGCCGUCAGAGGUGAAAUUCUUGGAUCGGCUAAAGACGGACAACUGCGAAAGCGUUUGCCCAGGAUGUUUUCAUUGA